Small nucleolar RNA from Ochotona princeps (American pika), 154 nucleotides. NCBI's taxonomy places the organism in Eukaryota, Metazoa, Chordata, Mammalia, Lagomorpha, Ochotonidae. The record is from Ensembl.
UGUGCACAUUGUUAGAGCUUGGAGUUGAGGCUGCUGAUCGGCCGAUGAACUCCCAAGUGUAGGUAGUGUGCUACAUGAGCGGCAAGCUUUUCGCUAACACCACGAGGGUCCCUGGCCUGAUGAGUGGGGUUGGAUAGUAAUCCUUGCUACAAUU